RNAcentral lists this long non-coding RNA (781 nucleotides) under Equus caballus (horse). RNAcentral's name for it is "lncRNA (ENSECAG00000054890.1)". The record is from RNAcentral. Lineage: Eukaryota; Metazoa; Chordata; Mammalia; Perissodactyla; Equidae.
GGAAACCGUUCCCAACUCCUGCCUUUGGUGUCAGCUCGACAGGAUCAUGUGGCUAGACCAUGUGCUCUUGAUCCAGGCCGGGGUCACCAUCAGGGGGAUCUAAUUUCACCUCUCGUACCUGUUCUGCUUUUUGUUUCAGUGUUUCUUUGAAGGGGUGAAAUUCUCUAGGGCUAUGACACCAGAAGUCAGCAAAACUCCUCCUCAAUCAUCAGCCUGGACCAAGUUAUCGACCUGCCUGCAGUGGAAGCCAUAGAGAACGUAUUCUCCCUCAGGUAUUCCGCAAACCUGUGUCCUGCAGAGUGUGGUUGCUGUCCAACAUUUGGAUCCUUCCAGUGGCCCAGGAACACCACCAGCCCACUCACUCACUCCCUCAGGACCCAGUUCAUCUUGCUGAUAUUAUUUAUUCAUUCUAGGAAGAAAAACAAGGAAUGCAAAAAAGAAAGAGAAAAGAAGAUACCUUCAUUGGCUCAAAGUGAGGAAACCUCAGUGGCUGCGAAAACAGUCAGCAACCCGGCAGCGGGGGUCGUUUGAGAGCAGACAGUGGAUUUCCCUGCCCCCGAGAGGGCAAGGGCCUUCUUCACAAAUCGCCACAACAUUGUGGGUGUCCCCUUCAGCUGAUGCUGGGCGCCCUGCCCUUUCCCCUCUGGACGCCCCCUCCUUCCUUGAUUGCAUAAUGAGAGGCUGAAAUUGUGUUUCCAAACUGCUUUGCUGCAUUUUUCCCAAACACAAAGGAUGUGUGUCCAGAUCCCUUGAUGAAACAAGAAGCUGUUCACACUUAGCC